AGCUAGCUGAUGAGUCCCAAUUAGGACGAAACGUACGUGCUAGAU
Molecule: non-coding RNA, 45 nt
Filed under: Schistosoma margrebowiei
Lineage: Eukaryota; Metazoa; Platyhelminthes; Trematoda; Strigeidida; Schistosomatidae
Source: RNAcentral